UGAUGAUGUUGGUGGCUUUUCCUACCUU
This 28-nucleotide small RNA is filed under the name Bombyx mori (domestic silkworm). RNAcentral describes it as "ovarian small RNA-32842". Lineage: Eukaryota; Metazoa; Arthropoda; Insecta; Lepidoptera; Bombycidae. The record is from RNAcentral.